UAACAUCCGGAAACGGGUGCUAAUACCGCAUAGUUUUCUUGAUCGCAUGAUUGAGAAAGGAAAGACGGCCUUUGUGCUGUCGCUUAUGGAUGGACCCGCGGCGUAUUAGUUAGUUGGUGAGGUAAUGGCUCACCAAGACGAUGAUACGUAGCCGACCUGAGAGGGUGAUCGGCCACAUUGGGACUGAGACACGGCCCAAACUCCUACGGGAGGCAGCAGUAGGGAAUCUUCCGCAAUGGACGAAAGUCUGACGGAGCAACGCCGCGUGAGUGAAGAAGGUUUUUUCCGGGAUCGUAAAACUCUGUUGUCAGAGAAGAACAAGUUGGAGAGUAACUGCUCCAGCCUUGACGGUAUCUGACCAGAAAGCCACGGCUAACUACGUGCCAGCCGCUGC
This 394-nucleotide ribosomal RNA is filed under the name uncultured bacterium. Its description in RNAcentral is "bacterial SSU rRNA". It matches the Rfam family "Bacterial small subunit ribosomal RNA", at positions 144 to 518 of the family's 1533-position model. The record is from RNAcentral.